Molecule: ribosomal RNA, 482 nt
Filed under: uncultured bacterium
Lineage: Bacteria
Description: bacterial SSU rRNA
Rfam family: Bacterial small subunit ribosomal RNA
Source: RNAcentral
ACGAGUUUGAUCAUGGCUCAGAUUGAACGCUGGCGGCAGGCCUAACACAUGCAAGUCGAGCGGUAGAGAGGUGCUUGCAUCUCUUGAGGAGCGGCGGACGGGUGAGUAAUGCCUAGGAAUCUGCCUAGUGGUGGGGGAUAACGUUCGGAAACGGACGCUAAUACCGCAUAAUGUCUACGGACCAAAGUGUGGGACCUUCGGGCCACAUGCUAUCGGAUGCGCCUACGUGGGAUUAGCUAGUUGGUGAGGUAAUGGCUCACCAAGGCGACGAUCUCUAGCUGGUUUGAGAGGAUGAUCAGCCACACUGGAACUGAGACACGGUCCAGACUCCUACGGGAGGCAGCAGUGGGGGAAUAUUGGACAAUGGGCGCAAGCCUGAUCCAGCCAUGCCGCGUGUGUGAAGAAGGCCUUCGGGUUGUAAAGCUCUUUUACUCGGGACGAUAAUGACGGUACCGAGAGAAUAAGCCCCGGCUAACUCCGUG